CUGCAUGGCUGUCGUCAGCUCGUGUCGUGAGAUGUGGGUUAAGUCCCGCAACGAGCGCAACCCUUGCCUUUAGUUGCCAGCAGUUCGGCUGGGCACUCUAAAGGGACUGCCGGUGUUAAACCGGAGGAAGGUGGGGAUGACGUCAAGUCCUCAUGGCCUUUAUGACCAGGGCUACACACGUACUACAAUGGCCGAUACAAAGGGCAGCGACACUGCGAGGUGAAGCCAAUCCCGUAAAAUCGGUCUCAGUCCGGAUUGGAGUCUGCAACUCGACUCCAUGAAGUUGGAAUCGCUAGUAAUCGUGGAUCAGCAUGCCACGGUGAAUACGUUCCCGGGCCUU
This 340-nucleotide ribosomal RNA is filed under the name uncultured Desulfobulbus sp. Its description in RNAcentral is "bacterial SSU rRNA". It matches the Rfam family "Bacterial small subunit ribosomal RNA", at positions 1041 to 1382 of the family's 1533-position model. Lineage: Bacteria; Pseudomonadati; Thermodesulfobacteriota; Desulfobulbia; Desulfobulbales; Desulfobulbaceae. The record is from RNAcentral.